Molecule: ribosomal RNA, 497 nt
Filed under: uncultured bacterium
Lineage: Bacteria
Description: partial 16S ribosomal RNA
Rfam family: Bacterial small subunit ribosomal RNA
Source: RNAcentral
GAUGAACGCUGGCGGCGUGCCUAAUACAUGCAAGUCGAGCGAACAGACGAGGAGCUUGCUCCUCUGACGUUAGCGGGGGACGGGUGAGUAACACGUGGAUAACCUACCUAUAAGACUGGGAUAACUUCGGGAAACCGGAGCUAAUACCGGAUAAUAUAUUGAACCGCAUGGUUCAAUAGUGAAAGACGGUUUUGCUGUCACUUAUAGAUGGAUCCGCGCCGCAUUAGCUAGUUGGUAAGGUAACGGCUUACCAAGGCAACGAUGCGUAGCCGACCUGAGAGGGUGAUCGGCCACACUGGAACUGAGACACGGUCCAGACUCCUACGGGAGGCAGCAGUAGGGAAUCUUCCGCAAUGGGCGAAAGCUUGACGGAGCAACGCCGCGUGAGUGAUGAAGGUCUUCGGAUCGUAAAACUCUGUUAUUAGGGAAGAACAAAUGUGUAAGUAACUAUGCACGUCUUGACGGUACCUAAUCAGAAAGCCACGGCUAACUACGUG